AAGUAAAUUCUCUCCAACUUUGACCAAGUUUAUAGAAAAUACACCAACAUGGCAACAUCUACAAAAUGAAAUGAAUUUCGUAAAAUCUAUUUUGAAUAUUCUUGAUAGUGCAAUUAUUUGGUAUUGCUGAUGUUAGUAUAUUUUUCUACAAACUUGGUUAAAGUUAGAGAAGUUUGACUUAU
RNAcentral lists this microRNA precursor (182 nucleotides) under Sorghum bicolor (sorghum). RNAcentral's name for it is "miR437n stem-loop (sbi-MIR437n)". Its record names the gene sbi-MIR437n. The record is from miRBase by way of RNAcentral. Lineage: Eukaryota; Viridiplantae; Streptophyta; Magnoliopsida; Poales; Poaceae.